AGUGAACGCUGGCGGUAGGCCUAACACAUGCAAGUCGAACGGCAGCACAGUAGGAGCUUGCUCUUACGGGUGGCGAGUGGCGGACGGGUGAGGAAUACAUCGGAAUCUACUUUUUCGUGGGGGAUAACGUAGGGAAACUUACGCUAAUACCGCAUACGACCUACGGGUGAAAGCAGGGGAUCUUCGGACCUUGCGCGAUUGAAUGAGCCGAUGUCGGAUUAGCUAGUUGGCGGGGUAAAGGCCCACCAAGGCGACGAUCCGUAGCUGGUCUGAGAGGAUGAUCAGCCACACUGGAACUGAGACACGGUCCAGACUCCUACGGGAGGCAGCAGUGGGGAAUAUUGGACAAUGGGGGCAAGCCUGAUCCAGCCAUACCGCGUGGGUGAAGAAGGCCUUCGGGUUGUAAAGCCCUUUUGUUGGGAAAGAAAAGCAGCAGGUUAAUACCCCGCUGUUCUGACGGUACCCAAAGAAUAAGCACCGGCUAACUUCGUG
Molecule: ribosomal RNA, 492 nt
Filed under: uncultured bacterium
Lineage: Bacteria
Description: partial 16S ribosomal RNA
Rfam family: Bacterial small subunit ribosomal RNA
Source: RNAcentral